This is an RNA transcript of Homalodisca vitripennis (glassy-winged sharpshooter), 2782 nucleotides long. It is a transcript of the gene named zinc finger Y-chromosomal protein-like, with no coding region annotated. NCBI's taxonomy places the organism in Eukaryota, Metazoa, Arthropoda, Insecta, Hemiptera, Cicadellidae. The record is from RefSeq and is a predicted model, not a curated record. The transcript has 3 exons.
AGGUUGAUGUUUGUUGGUCUGGCCUUGAUAACGAACGAAAAACGAAAAAAUAUGACCAUCUUUUAAAUGUAACCAUAACAUAACCAUAAAUUGGUGAAAACAGAACAUUCACAUAACAAUAUAGAAUGUUAUUGUGAUUUGGAUAAAUAAGGUAUUAAUGAUUUAUUAUUGAUAAUUAUAUCUUUCUUGGCUUAUAUAAUAUUUGUUGUCCCUCAAUGAUUGAAGAUUACUGUGUUUAGUUUGAGGUAGAUGAAAACUCAAAAUCGUCAGGUUUGUGAAUUCUGUAACAAACAGUUUGCAUCAUUUUCAAAUCGCAACAAACAUAUAAAGAAUAUUCAUAUGAAGACUGCUGAUGAUGAACCUAAAAUUAAACUACUAUGUACGCAGUGUGGCAUGCAGUUUUCGGCUAAAUCCAGCUUACAGCGUCACAUGGAUACAGUACAUUCUUUUGAAUCUGCAAAAUGUUAUUAUUGUCACAAAUGCACUUUUAAAACCCUUCGCUUGUAUUCUCUGCAGAGACAUAUCUUAGGAGUUCAUGAUAGUGGCAAGGAUCAACUGAAAACUUUACCAAAUCCAUUCAAGUGCAGUAUUUGUGGUGUUCAGUUUCAGUACUCAACCAGUCUGAAGCGUCAUGAGAAGAAAACUCAUAAAAUUGGUGAUGUUCCUUCCCGUCAGAUUAAAAUUAAGUGUCCAGUUUGUAGCUUUACUGCUUGUGGCAUUGGUUGUGUAAAAUCCAUACAUGAUCAUUUUAAAAAUGUUCACAGUAUUGAAAUAACUAAAGAGAAUCUUUACUUUGACUCUCUAGAGAAAUUUUAUACUUGGAAAAAAGACACGGAAAAGAAAACAACAAGUUUCUUUUGUAAAGCAUAUUCAAACUCUCGAAUGUUACUGUAUCGCUGUCAUAGAUGUGGAAUGUAUAGAAAACGUGGAACAAACAAACGUAAACCAAAAACUAAAGGAUCUUGUAAAAUGAAUGCUUUUUGUCCAGCCAGAAUUAAAGUUAAAGUGUUAGAAAACCAGUCUGUAAAUGUCAUAUAUAUUUCAAAUCAUGUAGGCCAUGAAAAUGAAUUGAAGCACCUUCAUUUAACAAAAGAAGAUAGAAGUAAAACUGUUACUACAGUAGUAACAAAAGAUUCAUGUAAGAAAGUUUUUAAAAGAGUUAAAAAUGCUCUCACAAAAAGGUCCAAACCAAAUAAGUCAAAAAGAAUCCAGUUGAUGAAUGAAAGUAAUACUGUAACAACUGAGAAAGCUGUCACCCUUAAUAAUGAACUAAACCAACCUAAUUUCCUGAGUAUUGCAGCUUGGAUCCAAGAGUUCAAUAUGGCUGAGGAAAUUGUGUUGUUAGUAAAUGGAGAAGAAGAAACUGAAGAACAUCUAGUAGUAGAACUAAUAGAUGAAGAUCCUACUUGUAUAGGAGAAAUAAUCUUAGACUAGUCAAAUUGUCAAGAAAAAAUACGUACUGUGAGGAGGGAGAUAUGGCAGAUGAAUUAGAAAGUAUGAAUAUUAAAACAAAAUAUAGAAAUCACUGAAGGUAUCAAAGUAUUUCUAUGUUACUGAAAACAGUCCGUGUCUAAGCAAAGAGCAGCACAGUCAGGUCGCAAAAUAAGAGUAAAGGAGGUGGACAACAAUGUUAUUAUGGCAUAAUAGAAAAAAAUGUAAUUUUCAUUGUGUUACAAAUUAAGGGAUUGGUAGAAAAGUUUUCCCUUGACAAAUUUUAAGAAUUUUCACAUAUGAAGUUUACUUAACUGCUACUUGUCAUCUGGAUCCAAACAUAGUGUUAAUUGAACACACAUUUAUAUUUAAAAAAUGUAUCAUAAUUGCUUUAUUUAACACAGGAAAAUCUCGAUUAUCCGCUGGGUUGAUUGGUGCUAAUAUCAUAGAUAGACAAAUUUUGUGAAUAAUCCGUAAAACUGUCGAUAGUGGUUAGAAAUGGCCAGAAUUUAAAAUGGUUAGAACUUGACUUAAUUCAGUUAAUAUUUACAACAACAAAAACAGACAGCACUUAUAAUUACUACAAAAUAAUGUACUCAUCUGAAAAUAUAAAAUUGUGCUUGAAUCAAACAAAACUAGAUUAUGUAUUAUAGUUCUCUUAAGUCUUUAAUAAGUUAUUCAUAAAACAGUCGGCUAAGUACUUGUUUUUAUUUUUAUUACAAGUACCUUUUUUGUUAGUGAAAGUCUUAAAAUUGUUUCCGUAAAUUCUAUUUUUUUAGGUAAAUUUUUAUCACAGAUGUCACAGAUAAUUCACAAAAAAGAUAAUUGGGUGGCGGAUAAUCGAGCCAACUGUAUUUACAUAUCAACUCUUUAUUUUACAAUGCAAAGAUAGGCUUAAAUAAUCCUUUCUUUGCUUAGCCUUAACAUUUAAGUUUUAUUAUAAACUUUACAAGGCAUAAAAAAUUAUAGAAUACAAUUUAAUUAACUUUGUUAUGAGAAACAUUUUAAUUUAUUGUAUCCAAAAAUGUAGGAAACCAAAAAAGUAAUUUUAUACUUUUAUUGUUAAAUAAAGUAACAUUCUAGAUGUCUGUUUAUUUAAAUACCCAAGAUAUUUUACAGUACAGUGUGUCAUAAUUAUAAUUUAUUUCCCCAAUUUAACAUACUAACUGCUACAGUAUUCACUAUCCUUGUUAGUCUUUAGUGUCAGCACUUAAAAUGUAAUGUGGCAGAGCACUGUGAUAAUUUUGAAGUUAUGUUUGAGGUAUGAUGAUGUCACUGUCACUCGAUGGGAUUUUGCUGAGCGAUAUUCAAUAUUUUUACAUUGGUCUUAUGUAUAACCAUGGUGGCAAUA